Molecule: small nuclear RNA, 188 nt
Organism: Alexandromys fortis (reed vole)
Lineage: Eukaryota; Metazoa; Chordata; Mammalia; Rodentia; Cricetidae
Product: U2 spliceosomal RNA
Exons: 1
Source: RefSeq, a predicted model, not a curated record
CUCUCUUCCCACACAGUUCGCCAUUGUGACACAGUGACACAUGUUUUCUUUUCAGUUUAAUAUCUAAUGUGUUCUUUAUCUGAACACAGUAUGUUAAAUGGAUGUUUGGAGUUGGGAGAUUGAAUAGGAGCUUGCUCUUUCCACUCCAUGCCUAACUUGGUCUUGUAGUACCAAGAAUGACACCCUUU